GCGUUUGCUCUUAUGGUCCGCAUACAAGCUAACGAUUUAUUCACUAAAAAGGACCGGGAAAAACAAUAAAUUUUACAGUUAGGUCCUAAAAGAGAUUGACCCAUUAAAAUUUAUAGGAAAAUCCAAUGAAUCUCGCGAGCCACACUCGAUCGGUAGAAUGUAUAAGAAAAUCUAAUAAAUUAUACAGUUUUGAAUAAUAAUACAUUAUAAAUUUGCUCAGAGGUUUUGUUCGUUUUUUGUGUCGCUGUUCAACUGAAAUUGAAGUUGAUUAAUUUCAGCCCAUCCGUACAAAAAAGUGAAGCUCAACAAAUAGAACGAAUAUACAAUUAAAAGCGAGCAGUACCAAUAUGAAAAUGGACGCCUUAGAUCCCUAAAUGGUUUUUCGUUUCCGGAAAUUAGAAUUCACGGAAUCAACUCACCCAUCAAUGGCGGACGACCGCGGAAUUUCGAGUCUCUGCCCAAGCAUCCAGAAUUCCCUUUAGAAGGGUCUGUGCUAACAAGAAGAAAGGUUUGUUUUUGUUAUUACCAACUUUUCUAAACCGAGGACACCUUCAAGUCGGAAGUUUGGGUUUCGGUUCAUCACCAUUCUAACACCAGUGCUAAACACCUUGCCUGUGCCAUAGUAAAGUGUUUAAUUAUUCUAAAUUUGAUAGCAGCUAUGAAAGAAACAAUAAAAUUUUCAAAGUAAACAAAAAUAAGUUGUAUCCCACUUUUUUCGGAAAGA
Uranotaenia lowii is the source of this 724-nucleotide long non-coding RNA. RefSeq lists it as uncharacterized. The record is from RefSeq and is a predicted model, not a curated record. The transcript has 3 exons. Lineage: Eukaryota; Metazoa; Arthropoda; Insecta; Diptera; Culicidae.